This 478-nucleotide ribosomal RNA is filed under the name uncultured bacterium. RNAcentral's name for it is "partial 16S ribosomal RNA". It matches the Rfam family "Bacterial small subunit ribosomal RNA", at positions 28 to 523 of the family's 1533-position model. The record is from RNAcentral.
GACGAACGCUGGCGGCGUGCUUAACACAUGCAAGUCGAACGGUAAGGCCCUUCGGGGUACACGAGUGGCGAACGGGUGAGUAACACGUGGGUGAUCUGCCCUGCACUUCGGGAUAAGCCUGGGAAACUGGGUCUAAUACCGGAUAGGACCCUGGGAUGCAUGUCCUGGGGUGGAAAGCUUUUGCGGUGUGGGAUGGGCCCGCGGCCUAUCAGUUUGUUGGUGGGGUGAUGGCCUACCAAGGCGACGACGGGUAGCCGGCCUGAGAGGGUGACCGGCCACGCUGGGACUGGGAUACGGCCCAGACUACUACGGGAGGAAGAAGUGGGGAAUAUUGCACAAUGGGCGAAAGCCUGAUGCAGCGGAGCCGCGUGAGGGAUGACGGCCUUCGGGUUGUGAACCUCUUUCAGCACCGACGAAGCGCAAGUGACGGUAGGUGCAGAAGAAGGACCGGCCGACUACGUGCCAGCCGCCGCCGUAA